This 406-nucleotide ribosomal RNA is filed under the name uncultured bacterium. RNAcentral describes it as "partial 16S ribosomal RNA". It matches the Rfam family "Bacterial small subunit ribosomal RNA", at positions 30 to 526 of the family's 1533-position model. The record is from RNAcentral.
AUUGAACGCUGGCGGCAGGCUUAACACAUGCAAGUCGAGCGAGCGGCGGACGGGUGAGUAAUGUCUGGGAAACUGCCUUAUGGAGGGGGAUAACUACGGGAAACGGUAGCUAAUACCGCAUACCAUCAGAUGUUCCCCUAUGGGAUGAGGUAGUAGGUGGGGUAAAGGCUCACCUAGUCGACGAUCCCUAGAUGGUCUGAGAGGAUGACCAGCCACACUGGAACUGAGACACGGUCCAGACUCCGACGGGAGGCAGCAGUGGGGAAUAUUGCACAAUGGGCGCAAGCCUGAUGCAGCCAUGCCGCGUGUGUGAAGAAGGCCUUCGGGUUGUAAAGCUCUUUCAGCGAGGAGGCGUUACUCGCAGAAGAAGCACCGGCUAACUCCGUGCCAGCAGCCGCGGUAAUAC